AGAGAAGCUUGGUUCUCUUGAGAGCGGCGGACGGGUGAGUAAUGCCUAGGAAUCUGCCUGGUAGUGGGGGAUAACGUUCGGAAACGGACGCUAAUACCGCAUACGUCCUACGGGAGAAAGCAGGGGACCUUCGGGCCUUGCGCUAUCAGAUGAGCCUAGGUCGGAUUAGCUAGUUGGUGGGGUAAUGGCUCACCAAGGCGACGAUCCGUAACUGGUCUGAGAGGAUGAUCAGUCACACUGGAACUGAGACACGGUCCAGACUCCUACGGGAGGCAGCAGUGGGGAAUAUUGGACAAUGGGCGAAAGCCUGAUCCAGCCAUGCCGCGUGUGUGAAGAAGGUCUUCGGAUUGUAAAGCACUUUAAGUUGGGAGGAAGGGUUGUAGAUUAAUACUCUGCAAUUUUGACGUUACCGACAGAAUAAGCACCGGCUAACUCUGUGCCAGCAGCCGCGGUAAUACAGAGGGUGCAAGCGUUAAUCGGAAUUACUGGGCGUAAAGCGCGCGUAGGUGGUUUGUUAAGUUGGAUGUGAAAUCCCCGGGCUCAACCUGGGAACUGCAUUCAAAACUGACUGACUAGAGUAUGGUAGAGGGUGGUGGAAUUUCCUGUGUAGCGGUGAAAUGCGUAGAUAUAGGAAGGAACACCAGUGGCGAAGGCGACCACCUGGACUAAUACUGACACUGAGGUGCGAAAGCGUGGGGAGCAAACAGGAUUAGAUACCCUGGUAGUCCACGCCGUAAACGAUGUCAACUAGCCGUUGGAAGCCUUGAGCUUUUAGGGCCGCAGCUAACGCAUUAAGUUGACCGCCUGGGGAGUACGGCCGCAGGGUGAAAACUCAAAUGAAUUGACGGGGGCCCGCACAAGCGGUGGAGCAUGUGGUUUAAUUCGAAGCACACGAAGAACCUUACCAGGCUUUACAUCCAAUGAACUUUCCAGAGAUGGAUUGGUGGCCUUCUGGAACAUUGAGACAGGUGCUGCAUGGAUGUCGUCAGCUCG
RNAcentral lists this ribosomal RNA (993 nucleotides) under Pseudomonas sp. LS49. Its description in RNAcentral is "bacterial SSU rRNA". It matches the Rfam family "Bacterial small subunit ribosomal RNA", at positions 72 to 1062 of the family's 1533-position model. Lineage: Bacteria; Pseudomonadati; Pseudomonadota; Gammaproteobacteria; Pseudomonadales; Pseudomonadaceae. The record is from RNAcentral.